CUGUAAUUUGCUGUUUGGAUGUGAAAUAGCGUUUAUUGAAUGUAAUACCCCUCACUUCAUAUUUAUUGGAUAAAUCAAAACAAUGCAAAAAUUUCUAAAUUACCAGCACCAACUAAGAACAGUCAAAUGACUGUUCAUAUAGUCAAAUGACUGUUCAUAUAACCUUACAAAGGUUUACAAGAUUACUGCACAAAUUAGAUAAGAG
This 205-nucleotide long non-coding RNA is filed under the name Mytilus galloprovincialis (Mediterranean mussel). Lineage: Eukaryota; Metazoa; Mollusca; Bivalvia; Mytilida; Mytilidae. The record is from RNAcentral.